GCUUAAAAUCCAAAGGACUUGACGGUGUCCCAUCCCCCUAGAGGAGCCUGUUCUAUAAUCGAUGACCCCCGCUACACCUCACCACUUUUUGCUCCCAUGCAGCCUGUAUACCUCCGUCGCAAGCUUGCCACAUGAGUGAAUCAUAGCAAGCCCAAUGGCCCCCCGCCAGUACGUCAGGUCAAGGUGCAGCCCAUGAAGUGGAAAGCAAUGGGCUACAAUUUCUAAUUUAGAACAAACGAACAACCAUCUGAAACUAUGGUCACGAAGGUGGAUUUAGUAGUAAAGAGGAAUAAUAGUGUCUUCUUUAAUAGCGGCCCUGGGACGCGUACAAACCGCCCGUCACCCUCUUCAACAGCAAAACCUUUAGUUAAUAACAGCCCACCCGCGUCUUAGAAGAGGCAAGUCGUAACAUGGUAGGUGUACUGGAAAGUGCGCCUGGAUAAACAAAAUAUAGCUUAGUAAAGCCCCCCGCUUACACCGGAAAGACAUCUGUUAAAACCAGAUUAUUUUGAGCCAUACCUCUA
RNAcentral lists this ribosomal RNA (524 nucleotides) under Boophis praedictus. RNAcentral describes it as "partial 12S ribosomal RNA". The stretch from base 1 to 451 matches the Rfam family "Bacterial small subunit ribosomal RNA", at positions 892 to 1533 of the family's 1533-position model. Lineage: Eukaryota; Metazoa; Chordata; Amphibia; Anura; Mantellidae. The record is from RNAcentral.